RNA transcript from Bombyx mori (domestic silkworm), 8116 nucleotides. RefSeq lists it as uncharacterized. NCBI's taxonomy places the organism in Eukaryota, Metazoa, Arthropoda, Insecta, Lepidoptera, Bombycidae. The transcript has 20 exons. The record is from RefSeq and is a predicted model, not a curated record.
AUUAUAAUCUGUUUAAAUCAUGCUUGUAUAAAACUCAAUUCGAUAAUUAAAUACUAAAUAAAGAAAGAAAUAUUGGGUAGCUUUUGAAUGUAUAAUAUAUUUCUACAAUCCACCGAAAAGUACACAAAAUGUUUACGUGAUUUUUUGUUGAUAGUGUUUGAGUGCACAAGUUAGAAUUAGUAAUUUAAUAGUGGCAGUCCAGUAUUACAAAACAAAAUGUAUACAUUCGCUUCUACUAACACUGGGGAAAAACACUCGAAUCAACAUCGUACAUUAACAUUGUAAAGCAAUAUUCUUAAAUUGCCAAUCCUACAAACUGCAACCCAAAGAACCAUCCAAAUGAAGUCAACAGAAAUUAUAUAAAUGUUUGGGUUCCUAACAAAUAAACAAUAUGGUGUUCACAUGGAAUCAUAAUAAUAAGAAUAACAACAGUAAACUGAAGCCAAAAUUAUAAAAUUGGAAAUAAGUAAAGGCAGAGAAAUACUAGAACUGAAAACUAGCCAUGAAAAUUCAGGUCCAACAUCGUAUUGAACUGGAGUCAAGAAAUAAAAGGUCUACAUAUUCUGAUGUGGUGUGUGGUGCAUGGUGGCUGAAUGGUGCUUAAAAAAUUACACUGAUAUUCUGCAGAUCAAUGUGGUCUACUCGAGCAAAUUUCCACUACGAUAAUAUAAAGGUUGCAGGUAAAUACCAACUUCUGCUCAAUAGUAACUAAGGGAGAUGUGGUUGUAAUACAAGUGACGAGUUAUGGCAGUUCUUAAGUCAUUGUGAAUGAUAUCAAUACUUGACAAUGCAGCAGUAUGGUUCCAUCUUCAUGAUUAAACAGAUUGCGAUAUAUAUUUAAAAGAUUCCAUGUAUGAUAAUAAAGAAUGUGGAAAAUAAACAAUGAUACUGGAGGGUUACUACAUAAUAGAGAACUACUUUAUGGCCUAGAAGUAGUAAAUUCAAAUAUAGUUUCAGUAAAAAAAAGUAUCAUCAUGCAAAACCACCUUCAUACUGAUACAGUACCAAUAUUUAUGGCACCAGCCAACCUCUUAUUGCUUCUGAACUAAAAUUUUUGUAUAUUUAAAAGAUUCUAUGUACUAUAAAGAAUGUGGAAAAUAAACAAUGAUACUGGGGAGUUAUACAUAAUGAAGAACUGCUUUAAGGCCUAAAAAUAGUAAAUUCAAACAUACAUUUGGUUAAAAAUGUAUCAACGUGUAACCACCUUCAUACCGAUACGCUACCAAUAUUUGUGGCACCAGCCGACUUCUUAUUGCUUCUGAACUCAAUUUUUCCACCGGUUUUCAUUCGGUAGAAGAUAUAGUGGAGAAUUCGCAAAAACGUUUAAAAAUGUUAUGAGUAUUGGAUUAUUUGUUUGCGAAAGUGUAUGGUUUAUGAAAGAGCAUACCGAGAAACCUGGCAACUUUGUCACUUUUUGGUGGAUAAAAAAAGUUUGGAAAGGUUUUUGGAGUUUACUCCUUAAGAAUCGAUUUACAUAUAUAGGCCCGGGGUAUGAAAAUUAUGGGGACCAAAAUCGUACUAGAGAGUAUAGCAUGUCACACGAAAUGCGUUAUGCACCUGAUUGGCCAUGGUGAUGCGUGCGCGCGCCAAUCAGGAGCCAACGCGCGGCCGCGUUAUCGCAGGUGACGCCGGGCUGCUGCGCCGGCAGUCCGCCACAAAGCCUCGUACUGAUCGCGCGUUUCUCUCAUUAUUGUAUUUUCAUAUAUUUGUUAGUCGUUUGUUUUGUGUCUCGUUAAUUUGUUAAUAAUCUGUAGUGUAUCGUGUUGUCGUAAUAUAGAACUAUUUCUCGUAUUGUUUCGUUUAAUUUACCGACAUCGUUUUGCUUGUGGCCGGACGCCGUUCGGGUUCGAUUCCUGAACGUAUCAACUGUUAGUGGGUUGAUACCCGAAUAUAACCCGCUACAAAUCAUUUAUUAAUAAAGCUUAUUAAAUAUAAACAAUUCCUUCUAUCAGUGAAUGGACAACUUAUAUAUUAAUUGUAAAAGUGAAUUAUAUAGACUUACUUAAUUACCGCAUCCACGUGUUCCGCAACUCCCGGAUCAUUCUCACUAGAAUACGUAACUUCCAUAUUUUACUGUAUUCAACUGACACAAAUUUAUAUUUAUAUCCAGUAAACUCCAGUCGUGCGUCGGAGCGGACACACACACUUUUUUUUCUUAAAAAAUCUGAGAAUAUAAAAAGCAAUCAAUCAGCUUGAUAGUGUAUUUUAUGCAUAAUUGUAAUGUAAUCAAAUAGGUAUCUAUUGUUUUCUUAAAUAUUAUUAAGUCCAAAAACAAAAAUGGCAAAGUUAACCAUCACUUGUGGUAAGAUUGCCAUACCCAAAUUUUGAAUGAAAUAAAUGGAAUUACUAUAAAAUGUCAGUGUUGUCAUUGCCACAGCUUGGUCACAGUAAAGAUAUACUAAAAUCUUAUCAUAUUCUCAACUAGCAAAUGAUUUUGCCUUGAUAGCGUUCAUGGUCACUUAUUACUCGGUUUGAGCAAAAUCCGUUCAGUGUGCUUAGUGCGAGUUUUGUAACGCUCUCGAUAGCGAGCCAGUUUGCUCAAAUUUGUAUGCAAUUGGAACAGCGCCCCUAGCGGCAAACGUACCCGGUGUUAUUUUGUGAGUGCGAGUUCAUAUUAACGUUGUGAUCUCGUAACCGAUUAAUUUUACCGAAAUGAGUACGGUACCACGAAUGACAUUUGUGCGAGUGCGUGUUACAAAUUAGUGAGUUUUAACGUUUCGAUCGAGUAUUUCUUUAGUAGUUCUAUUUUUCGAACUAGAGAGACAAAAGUAUCAUGCCAUAAAGCCUAAUCUUUUUUUUAUGAAAAAUGAUAAUAUGGAGUGAAAUGGAUUUGAUUAAUUUGAAGCAUUAAUCAAUUGGCAUGGGAUGAAAUGAAAUGAGAUCGGAUAAUAUGGGAUAAAAUAUAAUCUCUGCAAAAUGCUGAUUAUAUACUGAGAUUUUUUUCAGUGGACCUUUUCGAAGACUUCGAGAAGCUACGUCCAGCGGUUUUGUUUAUUUUUUUUUAAUUUUCGCUCUUUCACAGAUACUAAACAGUUAAUAAACCCACGUUACUUUGUUAUUGCAUAGAUGGGUGGACAAGCUCCCGGCCCACCUAAUCUUAAGUGGUUACCGGAGCCAAUAGACAUCUACAACGCAAAUGCCGCCUCCCACCUUGAGAUAUUAGUUCUAAGGUCUCAGUAUAGUUACAACGGUUGUCCCACCCUUCAAACCGAAACGCAUUACUGCUUCACGGCGGAAAUAGGCGGGGUGAUGGUACCUACCCGUGUGGACUCACAAGACGUCCUACCACCAGUAAUUACGCAAAUUAAUUUUGCGGGUUUGAUUUUUAUUACAUGAUGCUAUUCCUUUACAGUGAAAGUCAAUCGUAAACAUUUGAUAAGUACGUAUUUCAUUAGAAAAAUUGAUAUCCGCCGGCGGGAUUAGAACACCGAUGCAUUGCAAGAUACAAAUACACCGGACGCCUUAACCUUUAGGCCAGGACGGUCUCAAAAUUACACUUAUACACGAAGAAAUAUUAAAUACGCAUUUACUAAGAAACAUUAAAUAGACAAAAUAAAACAAUUCACACAAUUUAGCUCCUCGCGGGCCCACCAAAAUGUCUUUUCAUCUUUUUUUCCUAGUUGUUCAAUUGUAAAUGAAUAAAUCAAAAUCAAAUCGAGUUUACGUUCUAUACGGUGAAAAAUGAAGAAUUGUGAGUGUGAGUUGAGAUAUGCUACUCGCUUCGCAGGGCGUUUAUUCACCGAGAGCAGCAAUAAUAUUAUUUCUCGUAUAUUGGUAGCACGUGAUGUUUUGGCAUUAGACCGUCUAAAUGAAAUACAACGCAUUUUAACAGCAUUUUAAUGGGAACCAACUACUUUCAAAAUUAUUCGGGUAAUGUUCAAUACUAUUUUGUACCUUUAGAAUUAAAGUGGCUCAACCCAAAAUUCUUAGUUUCUGGUAAACUUCAAUAUUGUAAUACAAUAAUUGUAUUUUUUUAGUUUUUCGGGUUAAACACUUUAAGGCAUGCCAUUUUAUUUGAAAAAGACAGAAAGAGUACUUUGUCCUUUUCUAGACUAAAAGAGACUGUUUAAUUUAAUAAGCUGAUAGAAUAAUAUAGAAAAGAAUAAUAGGAUACCCUCUAAUCGUCACAUUGGAAAAAGGUAUGGCUUUAUCAUUUUAUCAUUUAAAUUAUUUUUUAUUGCACAUAUAAAACUAAUUUAAUUUACAAUAUGUAACUACAUAUAUCUAUAACUAAUCCGUACUUGUCAAAUUCCUCAUAAAUUGUCUUUUUUUUUUUUUUUCCUACCUAAGCUGAUAGCCCUAGCGGCUAUGUCAGCGUAACCCUAACUUUAGUAGGUGAGCUCACGGGGCUCAAACCUGACGAUGUUGCUAAAACGAACCCUAGCAAGAGCCGUGCUUCGCAGAAUCUACCACCGGAUCGGAAACGCGACCCACUGAGAAGAUCCGGCGAGAAACUCAGUGGGCUGUGUCUGAGAGUUAAUUUACUCGUCGAGCCCUUCGUCGCAAGCGACGGGUUCGACGAGAACGGUGACCGGUGCUUGAAGUACCUAAAAGCACCGUUAGUGGAUCGGGAGGAUCUGAGAUGACGUGUUUUGGGCGACGUCGACUGCUUUCCAUUCUGUCCGCAGGAUCGGGAAUGUAGUUACCGGCGGCCACGAUGAGAGGGUUCUCGUGUCGUGCCGCUUUAUCGAAGUGGCGCAUGGACGCCGACUGCAGAUACUUACUGAUGGACACUAAGUCCAGGUCGUCAUGGAGGUCGACAUUCCUGACGAACCACGGGGCUCCGACGGCUAUCCUGCAAAAACGGGAUUGAAUGACUUGGAAUGAUUUUAAGUGUAUGCGGGCCGCGUGAGCGAACACUACACUUGCAUAGGUCAUGACGGGGCGUAUGCAAGUUUUGUAGAGUGUCACCUUAUUUCUAAGGGACAUUUUACUUCGCCUACAUAUCAUCGGGAUAAAUUGUCAAUAUUCUUAAUAAAAUUCCUAUUAAUAAUAUACAAGUGCAAAUGUUGAGCUGCUUACCAGAAAUGAUAUAAUAGUGUUUUGUUUUUUUGUUGUUUCCUUGUAGGCUGCCUGUAAUAAUCUAAAUCUGUGUGAAAGGCAAUAAAUGAUUUUAUUAUUAUCUACUAAUGGUAGUCCAGUGGUCGAAAUUUGACCAUAAUUUAUUUAAAUUUUAAGUUUGAACAUUAUUAUAGUUCUAUUGUCACCUUUCUAUUAUCAUCAUUUCUAUAAUAAUCAUUGCUCUAUGUCGCCAAGGCUACAUUAUAGAAAAAUAAUAUUAAAGACAAAAAAUAUUAAUCUAUUCUCAAUUUGACCACAGAUUGAUAAAUCAAUAAACAAAAAAAGUAUAAAUGCAUGUUUGUGUGUGUGUGUGUGUCAAAUACAUGGUAAUGUGUGUAAGGUUUUUUUAUUCAUUUAGUUUAUUUUUUUAUUGUUUAUGCACAAUUAAAAAAAAAAAUUAGCAAUCUGCAUUACUUCUCUAUAUUCUCUAUAAGUGUGGGAAUUUUCAUACUUCUCCGUCCGCGCAAUUUUCGUAAAAAGGAGUACAACAUUUUUGCUUCACGUAUUACCUACUUAAAUUGUAGGUUCUUAGUACUUAAUACAUAAGUACUUAAUACAUAAGGGUUUUGAAAUAUAAAACUAAUCUUAAAUUUUUUUAGUUAUACCACUUCCAUUCUAAGGGUGCAAUUUCGUAAACAAACUUUGCCGUAAUGGCGUAACCUUUAAAAUACACGAAAACUGCCCAGCAUAAACAUAUUUUUUUAGUAACUUUAAUAGAAGUAUUAGAAUUAGAAGUUUAUUAUAGAAUUUAUUUAAUUGUAAUGACAUAUUUAGACAUACCUACUUAACAUAAUUAAUCUUGGAAUAGGUAAUUAUUUCAGCUUUUUUUAAUUAAAGAAAUUAUGUUUUACAUAGGUUUAAUCAUUUACCCGUUGAACGUUUAUAAAAUGAUUGUAUUUACGGUAAUAGUGUUGAUGAUCUUCAUUAGGUGGCCCAAAUAUACUAAAAUUAUUACGAGCAUCUAUCCUUAUUUAUAAAUGUGUAAAGAAGCAAAAUUAUUAUUACAUUGUUUAAAUUUCUAUAUAAUUUAUAAAUAUAAAUCUGUACGUAUGUAUCUGUAAAUAUGUAUAUUGCGCGCGCGUGUGUGUGUGUGUGUGCGCGUGUGUAUAUAUUUCUAUAAUAUAUACACACAUAUAAAUCUGGAAUUCAUUUCGAAAUUAUUCUUGCCCAUCUAAUGGUUGUCUGGAAGAGAUCACUCUUAGCGAUAAGACCAAGAAAGAAUGUUUCACAAUAUUUAUUCAUUUUGUGUACAAUAAAGAAUACUCUUUCACUGGUGGUAGGACCUCUUGGGAGUCCACACGGGUAGGUACCAUCACCCCGCCUAUUUCCGCCGUGAAGCAGUAAUGCGUUUCGGUUCGAAGGGUGGGGUAGCCGUUGUAACUAUACUGAGACCUUAGAACUUAUAUCUCGAGGUGGGUGGCGCAUUUACGUUGUAGAUGUCUAUGGGCUCCAGUAACCACUUAACAUCAGGUGGGCUGUGAGCUCGUCCAUCCAUCUAAGCAAUAAAAAAAAAGAAAAAACUCUUUCUCACUCUCUCUCUCUCAUCAAACAACUCUUUAAAAAAAAGCAAUGAUUUAAUAAGAAUUAAAUGAAAUAGCAAAGAAUUAAUAUGUAUUUACAACUAGCUAGACGUCUAUAAAAUUUUCUAACCGAAAAAAUAUAUGUGUAUAAACCAUUAGAAUAGAUAAAACCUUAAAAAACAACAUUAUUAAUAAAAACGAAAGAAAAAAUCUUGAUAUUGUAUUGGUUUCACGGCAAAAUUUUUAGUGACUACUUAACUUGCUUGAAAGUGAAGAAAUACUCUCAAAAUCCAUUAAUUUGCAACUCGCACUCGCACAUACAAUAAUCGAGAGCCUCACUUCGGUAAAGCUAUUCGAUACAUGAGACAGCAACAUAAACAAACCUUCUCUCUCCCACAAAAUGAGAUUCAUAAGCUUACCACUAGGUGGCACUGAUACAACCUCACACAAAUUAAACAUAACAUUAACAUCGACUGAGUAAUUAAAAAAACUCGCACUAAGCACAGGUACAUUACCCAUUACCCGACUAAUUAUAAAUAUCGUUAGAAAGCUUGGCAUUUCAAUUAAACGCCUUAAAAAAAACCUUGCGUGCUACCAAUAUAAAAGAAAAAAAUAUCGCUUCUCAAGAUGAAUAAACGUCCUGCAAAUCGAGUAACUCGCACUCAGAGCUCCGCACGUUUCACCGUGAAGAGCGUACACUCGAUGCGAGUCAUUCGAUUCGAUUUUUGAAACUCGCACUAAGCCUACAGUAGUCUUUGCUUGAAAGAGUAACACAUACCUAUCCAUCCAUAAAUCUUAACAAAUUUCAUAUAAAUAAUAAAAUUAUAAUUUGGAUCUGAAAUGAAGAAACAUUAAAAGUAGAUAUUAUAAUAUUUCGACAGUCCUAGCCUCCAAAAAAAAAUGGCAAAGUUCAUUCACAUCAGCAAAACUUGUUUGCUUGGUUUUGCCAAUAGUGAUUUAAUAAGACUAAAUUGCUUUAUAGAACGUAAAUUACCAUAACUUUGAUGAAAAAAACACUACUAAGAAAGUAAAAUCCACUUAUUUAUUUACACUAAACUUCCGGAGCACGUAGUUACCACAAAUUUAGCAGAUGCAUUUAGCAACCGCCAAAAAUGACAAUUCUUUCAAAUCUGGGUUGUCAAAUCAAAAUAAUCAAGAUGUCGCCAAUCAAAUGUUCAAAAGUAGUUCAUUGCAAAUGUUAUAGAACAUAAAGUUUUGACAAAGGGUUUAAAUGCAAAUGAAUUAGAAUUACUAAAGACGAAUUUAAUACGACAUGACAUAAAAUUCCUUCAAAACCAGAAUUUUCACGAGAUCGAAGCGUUGGGUGUACGCAUGUUAAAUCUGUUGGCUGAAAAUGACUUUAAUUACAGAGUAUUGACUCAAUCAAUGGUAAUAGAAGAAUCUAAGAUUGGUGGAAGAAAUGUACAACUACAAAAAAUUGUUUGGACUAUGUACAAAGAAUGAAAAUUGAAACAGUAUUAAUAAAUUGUAUUUAACAACAUAUAAGAAAAAUAAACUAAUUUCUUUUCUCUAUA